Molecule: non-coding RNA, 72 nt
Organism: Podarcis lilfordi (Lilford's wall lizard)
Lineage: Eukaryota; Metazoa; Chordata; Lepidosauria; Squamata; Lacertidae
Source: the annotation of a GenBank genome assembly
GCAGUGGCGCUCAGUGGUUAGAUCACCUGCUUUCCAUGCAGAAGGUCCCAGGUUCAAUCCCUGUCAUCUCCA